RNAcentral lists this long non-coding RNA (264 nucleotides) under Homo sapiens (human). RNAcentral describes it as "HSALNT0255203". Lineage: Eukaryota; Metazoa; Chordata; Mammalia; Primates; Hominidae. The record is from RNAcentral.
CGGGGACCUGGGGCUGCUGCUCCCCGAGCCGUGUGGUACCAUCUAGGCUCACUGCAGCCUCCACCUCCUGGGUUCAAGUGAUCCUCCUGCCUCAGCCUCCCGAGUGCUGGAAUUACAGCUUUGCAGAGGCAAGCGUCUAUGAUUUAAAUGCUAGCUUUGCCGCUUACUGGCUGAAAGACUUUAAAUGACAAUAACAAAAAAUGAAGAGGAUGAUGAUGAUGAUACAAGAUACCAUUGCCCGUGUGUACCAGACAUCAUGCUAAG